Homo sapiens (human) is the source of this 473-nucleotide long non-coding RNA. The record is from Ensembl. Lineage: Eukaryota; Metazoa; Chordata; Mammalia; Primates; Hominidae.
UAUCUGGUGACACAGAGUUGAAGUUUUAGAAUUUGGAAAUAAAAUGACUGGGGUGGGGUCCCAAGUACUGUGUUCAAGGAAAGGACAUGCCAGGCUGCGGGACCUCAAUGCCUCCUCCCCAUCAACCCUUUGACAGCUGUGCCCUAUCCCACCUUGGAGGCCAAAGCAACUCCCUCCUGGGUGCUAAUGCGUCAUGUUGACUUCUGAUUAACCCCACUUCCAGGAAUGCCUUUAAGAUUUCUACUUUUAUCUACUGUUAAGAGCACACACUUACUGUAAAUAUGUUAUUAUAAACACUGUAAAUCUGUAUCAUAAAACUGUGGUGCUGUAAACACUAUAAAUAUGUUAUCAUAACCCUAUGGUAUAUAUGCCCUGGGUCUCGGGGGGGCAACAAUGUGGGGAUCCACCAUCUCCUGGCUGCCCGAGACAUGGCUUUUGUUUCUAAGUCCCUAUUAAAUGUUCCUAAGCAACUG